UUAAGCGACUAAGCGUACACGGUGGAUGCCCUGGCAGUCAGAGGCGAUGAAGGACGUGCUAAUCUGCGAAAAGCGUCGGUAAGGUGAUAUGAACCGUUAUAACCGGCGAUGUCCGAAUGGGGAAACCCAGUGCAAUUCGUUGCACUAUCGUUAACUGAAUACAUAGGUUAACGAGGCGAACCGGGGGAACUGAAACAUCUAAGUACCCCGAGGAAAAGAAAUCAACCGAGAUUCCCCCAGUAGCGGCGAGCGAACGGGGAGCAGCCCAGAGUCUGAAUCAGCUUGUGUGUUAGUGGAACGGUCUGGAAAGUCCGACGGUACAGGGUGAUAGUCCCGUACACCAAAAUGCACAGGCUGUGAACUCGAAGAGUAGGGCGGGACACGUGGUAUCCUGUCUGAAUAUGGGGGGACCAUCCUCCAAGGCUAAAUACUCCUGACUGACCGAUAGUGAACCAGUACCGUGAGGGAAAGGCGAAAAGAACCCCGGCGAGGGGAGUGAAAAAGAACCUGAAACCGUGUACGUACAAGCAGUGGGAGCACCUUCGGGUGUGACUGCGUACCUUUUGUAUAAUGGGUCAGCGACUUAUAUUCUGUAGCAAGGUUAACCGUAUAGGGGAGCCGCAGGGAAACCGAGUCUUAACUGGGCGUUAAGUUGCAGGGUAUAGACCCGAAACCCGGUGAUCUAGCCAUGGGCAGGUUGAAGGUUGGGUAACACUAACUGGAGGACCGAACCGACUAAUGUUGAAAAAUUAGCGGAUGACUUGUGGCUGGGGGUGAAAGGCCAAUCAAACCGGGAGAUAGCUGGUUCUCCCCGAAAGCUAUUUAGGUAGCGCCUCGUGAAUUCAUCUUCGGGGGUAGAGCACUGUUUCGGCUAGGGGGUCAUCCCGACUUACCAACCCGAUGCAAACUACGAAUACCGAAGAAUGUUAUCACGGGAGACACACGGCGGGUGCUAACGUCCGUCGUGAAGAGGGAAACAACCCAGACCGCCAGCUAAGGUCCCAAAGUCAUGGUUAAGUGGGAAACGAUGUGGGAAGGCACAGACAGCCAGGAUGUUGGCUUAGAAGCAGCCAUCAUUUAAAGAAAGCGUAAUAGCUCACUGGUCGAGUCGGCCUGCGCGGAAGAUGUAACGGGGCUAAACCAUGCACCGAAGCUGCGGCAGCGACACUAUGUGUUGUUGGGUAGGGGAGCGUUCUGUAAGCCUGCGAAGGUGACCUGUGAGGGUUGCUGGAGGUAUCAGAAGUGCGAAUGCUGACAUAAGUAACGAUAAAGCGGGGUGAAAAGCCCGCUCGCCGGAAGACCAAGGGUUCCUGUCCAACGUUAAUCGGGGCAGGGUGAGUCGACCCCUAAGGCGAGGCCGAAAGGCGUAGUCGAUGGGAAACAGGUUAAUAUUCCUGUACUUGGUGUUACUGCGAAGGGGGGACGGAGAAGGUUAUGUUAGCCGGGCGACGGUUGUCCCGGUUUAAGCAUGUAGGCUGGUUAUCCAGGCAAAUCCGGAUAAUCAAGGCUGAGGUGUGAUGACGAGGCACUACGGUGCUGAAGUAACAAAUGCCCUGCUUCCAGGAAAAGCCUCUAAGCAUCAGGUAACAUCAAAUCGUACCCCAAACCGACACAGGUGGUCAGGUAGAGAAUACCAAGGCGCUUGAGAGAACUCGGGUGAAGGAACUAGGCAAAAUGGUGCCGUAACUUCGGGAGAAGGCACGCUGGUGUGUAGGUGAAGCCCCUGCGGGUGGAGCUGAGACCAGUCGAAGAUACCAGCUGGCUGCAACUGUUUAUUAAAAACACAGCACUGUGCAAACACGAAAGUGGACGUAUACGGUGUGACGCCUGCCCGGUGCCGGAAGGUUAAUUGAUGGGGUUAUCCGUAAGGAGAAGCUCUUGAUCGAAGCCCCGGUAAACGGCGGCCGUAACUAUAACGGUCCUAAGGUAGCGAAAUUCCUUGUCGGGUAAGUUCCGACCUGCACGAAUGGCGUAAUGAUGGCCAGGCUGUCUCCACCCGAGACUCAGUGAAAUUGAACUCGCUGUGAAGAUGCAGUGUACCCGCGGCAAGACGGAAAGACCCCGUGAACCUUUACUAUAGCUUGACACUGAACAUUGAGCCUUGAUGUGUAGGAUAGGUGGGAGGCUUUGAAGCGUGGACGCCAGUCUGCGUGGAGCCAACCUUGAAAUACCACCCUUUAAUGUUUGAUGUUCUAACGUUGGCCCCUGACCGGGGUUGCGGACAGUGUCUGGUGGGUAGUUUGACUGGGGCGGUCUCCUCCCAAAGCGUAACGGAGGAGCACGAAGGUUAGCUAAUCCUGGUCGGACAUCAGGAGGUUAGUGCAAUGGCAUAAGCUAGCUUGACUGCGAGCGUGACGGCGCGAGCAGGUGCGAAAGCAGGUCAUAGUGAUCCGGUGGUUCUGAAUGGAAGGGCCAUCGCUCAACGGAUAAAAGGUACUCCGGGGAUAACAGGCUGAUACCGCCCAAGAGUUCAUAUCGACGGCGGUGUUUGGCACCUCGAUGUCGGCUCAUCACAUCCUGGGGCUGAAGUAGGUCCCAAGGGUAUGGCUGUUCGCCAUUUAAAGUGGUACGCGAGCUGGGUUUAGAACGUCGUGAGACAGUUCGGUCCCUAUCUGCCGUGGGCGCUGGAGAAUUGAGGGGGGCUGCUCCUAGUACGAGAGGACCGGAGUGGACGCAUCACUGGUGUUCGGGUUGUCAUGCCAAUGGCACUGCCCGGUAGCUAAAUGCGGAAGAGAUAAGUGCUGAAAGCAUCUAAGCACGAAACUUGCCCCGAGAUGAGUUCUCCCUGAGACUUUAAGUCUCCUGAAGGAACGUUGAAGACGACGACGUUGAUAGGCCGGGUGUGUAAGCGCAGCGAUGCGUUGAGCUAACCGGUACUAAUGAACCGUGAGGCUUAACCUU
Molecule: ribosomal RNA, 2901 nt
Filed under: Klebsiella pneumoniae subsp. ozaenae
Lineage: Bacteria; Pseudomonadati; Pseudomonadota; Gammaproteobacteria; Enterobacterales; Enterobacteriaceae
Description: bacterial LSU rRNA
Rfam family: Bacterial large subunit ribosomal RNA
Source: RNAcentral